RNAcentral lists this unclassified non-coding RNA (248 nucleotides) under Neodevriesiaceae sp. RNAcentral describes it as "partial contains 5.8S ribosomal RNA, internal transcribed spacer 2, and large subunit ribosomal RNA". The record is from RNAcentral. Lineage: Eukaryota; Fungi; Ascomycota; Dothideomycetes; Mycosphaerellales; Neodevriesiaceae.
CGCACAUUGCGCCCUUUGGCAUUCCGAAGGGCAUGCCUGUUCGAGCGUCAUUACACCAAUCAAGCCUGGCUUGGUAUUGGGCGACGGGGCCGUCACGCGCCCCGCGCCCCAAUGACCCCCCGGCGGGACGGACCGAAUCUCAGCGUUGUGAAUCAAAAGCCGCUGGCGAGACGGGACGGCCGUGCCGUAAAACAACCCCCCAUCACAAGGUUGACCUCGGAUCAGGUAGGGAUACCCGCUGAACUUAA